UUAACGACUGAGCCACCCCAGGCGCCCCAACGGAGAGCUUUUUAAAGAAAAUACCCCUGCUCAGGCCCUUCCCCAGACCGGCUGAAUGAGUGUCUCAGAGGGGAGGAGAUCAACAGGGAUGUUUAAAAAAAAAAAAAAAUUCCCCAAUAGCAUUAAAUAUGGACUCAGGAUUGAGAACUUCUGCCCUGGCAUUUUAUGGUGUCCAGAUUCCAGCACGCACCCUGUAAGUAAAGACUGAAUAAGUGACUACAGAAAUAAAAAUAAAUAAAUAAAAAACCACUUUCACAUCUUUGAUCUCAUUUUGUCUGCAAAACCGCCCUGUGAACUCCGUCAUGGCCUCACUGCCCAGAAGAGGAUAGGGAGUGUUGAAACGCCGUAAGUCACAAACGGUCCCUUUGGGCUUUUGGGCUCCAUACUUUGUUUGACCAGCUCCCCUGAGAUUAAAACUAGAUUCUCUGCUCCCCACCCAUAUUCUAGCACAACACCUCAUGCAUAGACGGUUUUUGACAGCGAGUGAUCAGCACAGCGGGAAGCGUCUCAGUCACCCAGAGCUCCACCCGGCGGCUCGCCCCCCACACAGGGCUCUCAGAUGGCGUUCAGCAUCAUGGCCCUCACUUCCUUUAUGGAAAGUUCCUACUCGUCUCCAGGACCUGAGAGGACAAACCUGGAGUGGUUGGCAGCCCAGGGCAUGUGAAGUCUGAGGAGGAGUGAGUCCACAUAAAGAAAAGGAGAGCCAAGGGGAGGACAGACCCAGGGCCCUCACAGGCUCAAGCCCUGGAACAAGUUGGUCCCAAAGCUGAUCGUGCCCAGGUUUUUUUCAGACAUCAGACAAUAAGUCCCUUUUUUGUUUAACAUUCUGUGACUGAGGGGCGCCUGGGUGGCUCAGUUGUUAAGCGUCUGCCUUCAGCUUAGGGCGUGAUCCUGGAGUCCUGGCAUCGAGCCCCUCAUCAGGCUCCUCCGCUGGGAGCCUGCU
Long non-coding RNA from Ailuropoda melanoleuca (giant panda), 973 nucleotides. RefSeq lists it as uncharacterized. The record is from RefSeq and is a predicted model, not a curated record. The transcript is spliced from 3 exons. NCBI's taxonomy places the organism in Eukaryota, Metazoa, Chordata, Mammalia, Carnivora, Ursidae.